GAUGAACGCUAGCGGCAGGCUUAACACAUGCAAGUCGAGGGGUAUUGGUUUUCGGACCAAGAGACCGGCGCACGGGUGCGUAACGCGUAUGCAAUCUACCUUUUGCAGAGGGAUAGCCCCAGAGAAAUUUGGAUUAAUACCUCAUAGUAUAGUACUUUGGCAUCAAGGAACUAUUAAAGUCACAACGGCAAAAGAUGAGCAUGCGUCCCAUUAGCUAGUUGGUAAGGUAACGGCUUACCAAGGCUACGAUGGGUAGGGGUCCUGAGAGGGAGAUCCCCCACACUGGUACUGAGACACGGACCAGACUCCUACGGGAGGCAGCAGUGAGGAAUAUUGGACAAUGGGCGCAAGCCUGAUCCAGCCAUGCCGNGUGCAGGAUGACGGUCCUAUGGAUUGUAAACUGCUUUUAUACAGGAAGAAACACUCCGACGUGUCGGAGCUUGACGGUACU
RNAcentral lists this ribosomal RNA (451 nucleotides) under uncultured bacterium. Its description in RNAcentral is "bacterial SSU rRNA". It matches the Rfam family "Bacterial small subunit ribosomal RNA", at positions 28 to 479 of the family's 1533-position model. The record is from RNAcentral.